UGGCUCAAUGGUUAAGAGCACUGACUGUUCUUCCAGAGGUUCUGGGUUCAAUUCCCAG
Molecule: transfer RNA, 58 nt
Filed under: Mus musculus (house mouse)
Lineage: Eukaryota; Metazoa; Chordata; Mammalia; Rodentia; Muridae
Rfam family: tRNA
About the family: Transfer RNA (tRNA) molecules are approximately 80 nucleotides in length.
Source: Rfam by way of RNAcentral